This is a long non-coding RNA of Ailuropoda melanoleuca (giant panda), 548 nucleotides long. RefSeq lists it as uncharacterized. The transcript is spliced from 3 exons. NCBI's taxonomy places the organism in Eukaryota, Metazoa, Chordata, Mammalia, Carnivora, Ursidae. The record is from RefSeq and is a predicted model, not a curated record.
CGCCCCGAGCCGAAGGCAGACGCCCAACUGCUGUGCCACCCAGGCGCCCCAAGAUCCUAAUACCAUUUUUACGUUUAAUUUUUGGACGCACCUCCAUGCUGUUUUCCGGGGCACAAGGGUUCCAAUUUCUCCACAUCCUCGCCAUCGCUUGCCGUUUGACAGCCCACCUGCACACUAGGUCACAAUCCCACUCCAGAUGAGAACAUGCCACGCUAUGGGGCAUGGGACCCGGCCUUCCCGAGCAACUGUCUUCACCCACUGUGACCUCUGAUGAUGGCCAUGCGGUCUCUCCCUGCUGCAGAGUGACCUUGACAUUCCUCCCAUUCAACGUGGAGUCUUAAAACAAGAUGCAUGAAGUGACACCGCAUGGCUUCCAAGGCCAGGUCAGAAGCGGAGACAUGAGGUCACCCUUCUGUCUUAAGAUGCUCACAUGGAGCCCUGAGCCAGCAGGGGCAGGCCAUCAAGUGAGGAGUCCCAGGGACCUAGGGCCGCCAUGCUGCAAGGACGGCACCAGGAGGCGCCCCAGCCAGCAGCCCUGGCUGAGCUCC